RNAcentral lists this ribosomal RNA (253 nucleotides) under uncultured bacterium. RNAcentral describes it as "partial 16S ribosomal RNA". It matches the Rfam family "Bacterial small subunit ribosomal RNA", at positions 524 to 776 of the family's 1533-position model. The record is from RNAcentral.
UACAGGGGUCUCAAGCGUUGUUCGGAUUCAUUGGGCGUAAAGGGUGCGUAGGCGGCGCCGUAAGUCAGGUGUGAAAUUUCGGAGCUUAACUCCGAAACUGCAUUUGAUACUGCGGUGCUUGAGGACUGGAGAGGAGACUGGAAUUUACGGUGUAGCAGUGAAAUGCGUAGAGAUCGUAAGGAAGACCAGUGGCGAAGGCGGGUCUCUGGACAGUUCCUGACGCUGAUGCACGAAGGCCAGGGGAGCAAACGGG